GGCGGAGUUAGAGCAUACUCUAAGCGUAGUAAUUAUCCCCUCGCUUCUGUAGUAGCCCUAAAGCCUGCCGUAAAACCCCCUAUAACUUUCAA
This 92-nucleotide ribosomal RNA is filed under the name Hypoxylon fulvosulphureum. RNAcentral describes it as "partial 28S ribosomal RNA". The record is from RNAcentral. Lineage: Eukaryota; Fungi; Ascomycota; Sordariomycetes; Xylariales; Hypoxylaceae.